GAUGAACGCUGGCGGUGUGCCUAAUACAUGCAAGUCGAGCGAACAGACGAGGAGCUUACUCCUCUGACGUUAGCGGCGGACGGGUGAGUAACACGUGGAUAACCUACCUAUAAGACUGGGAUAACUUCGGGAAACCGGAGCUAAUACCGGAUAACAUGUUGAACCGCAUGGUUCAACAGUGAAAGACGGUCUUGCUGUCACUUAUAGAUGGAUCCGCGUCGCAUUAGCUAGUUGGUAAGGUAACGGCUUACCAAGGCAACGAUGCGUAGCCGACCUGAGAGGGUGAUCGGCCACACUGGAACUGAGACACGGUCCAGAGUCCUACGGGAGGCAGCAGUAGGGAAUGUUCGGCAAAGGGCGAAAGCCUGACGGAGCAACGCCGCGUGAGUGAAGAAGGGCUUCGGAUCGUAAAACUGUGUUAUUGGGGAAGAACAAAUGUGUAAGUAACUAUGCACGUCUUGACGGUACCUAAUCAGAAAGCCACGGCUAACUACGUG
RNAcentral lists this ribosomal RNA (497 nucleotides) under uncultured bacterium. Its description in RNAcentral is "partial 16S ribosomal RNA". It matches the Rfam family "Bacterial small subunit ribosomal RNA", at positions 28 to 507 of the family's 1533-position model. The record is from RNAcentral.